Molecule: non-coding RNA, 46 nt
Filed under: Trichobilharzia regenti
Lineage: Eukaryota; Metazoa; Platyhelminthes; Trematoda; Strigeidida; Schistosomatidae
Source: RNAcentral
GUACUGUUGAAGAGUCCCAAACUAGGACGAAACAGCCGUCCAGUAC